GCCGGAAUAGCUCAGUUGGUAGAGCAGARGACUGAAAAUCCUCGUGUCACCAGUC
RNAcentral lists this transfer RNA (55 nucleotides) under Cinclidium stygium. RNAcentral's name for it is "partial tRNA-Phe". It matches the Rfam family "tRNA", at positions 1 to 53 of the family's 71-position model. From Rfam's summary of the family: Transfer RNA (tRNA) molecules are approximately 80 nucleotides in length. Their secondary structure includes four short double-helical elements and three loops (D, anti-codon, and T loops). The record is from RNAcentral. Lineage: Eukaryota; Viridiplantae; Streptophyta; Bryopsida; Bryales; Mniaceae.